GUACUGAUGAAGAGUCCCAAACUGGGGGUGGGUGGGACGAAACAGCUGUCCACUAC
Molecule: non-coding RNA, 56 nt
Filed under: Trichobilharzia regenti
Lineage: Eukaryota; Metazoa; Platyhelminthes; Trematoda; Strigeidida; Schistosomatidae
Source: RNAcentral